UUGCUCGCACUUUCCAUAUGGAGCUGGGAGUGUUUGCCGGUUGGACGUCCGAAGAAGAUGAAGUACGAUGAUUGGGACGACAAAGGCAACCUACUACGGCUACCCACUUGGGCUUACAAGUGGGAUGUGAUAAAUGAGACGACAGAUGAUCCCUCGAUCAUGUACAAGUUGUACCAGAGCGAGCUUGACGCGAUCAUGCCUCAGCAGGUGAAUUGA
RNAcentral lists this ribosomal RNA (216 nucleotides) under Triticum aestivum (bread wheat). RNAcentral's name for it is "partial small subunit ribosomal RNA". Lineage: Eukaryota; Viridiplantae; Streptophyta; Magnoliopsida; Poales; Poaceae. The record is from RNAcentral.